Molecule: long non-coding RNA, 1746 nt
Organism: Lycium barbarum (goji berry)
Lineage: Eukaryota; Viridiplantae; Streptophyta; Magnoliopsida; Solanales; Solanaceae
Exons: 2
Source: RefSeq, a predicted model, not a curated record
UUCAUCUCCAUUUACUUUUCAGAUUUGAUCGUGCAAGACCUGUUUUGUUUUCCUUUUCAACAUUUUUCCUCUAGCGUGUUUGGGAAAAUAAAAUUUCCAUAAAAUGGCAUGCCUCUCUUUUAAUGUUUCCCCACGAAACGUUUCCUACAAGUUUGCUUUUCCUUCUUAUCCAAAUGCUCUAUUAAUGGUGAACAAAAAUGCUCUAUCAAUGAUGAGAACCGUUCUACAUUGGAAAAACAAAUAAUAGGCACCGUACUAAAUCCUCUUAUUUACUACUAACCUUUUAAAUUGUGGCUACUUGUGUUCCUCUUCUUUUUUCUAGGAUACAUUUCUUCCACUUAUAGCGUCUUCAAGUUGAGUAAGAGUAAGAGAAGCGGAGAAUCAGAGAAGGAAGAAUUAAAAGCGAGUAUUCAUCAUGACAAUAUUAAUAAUUUACUGACUGUAAAUUUGAGGAUUUUGUCAGGAUGAUGAUGAGAUCAAGAUCAAUGAAUAGUCGUAGCAGGUGGCGGACCUAGUAAGGACCCCCUUCCUGCACAUAAAUCCUGGCUCCGUCACUGAUCGUAGCGUCAGUUUCCUGCGCAAAUGACGCCAUCAAGUCGCCGGCGAAGUCGAAAGGAUGGCAUUUUUCAAGUCCAAUGUAAGUCUUGUGGCAGUCGAAGGUGGCAUCGACAUUGGUUCAUGAACGGUUGCCUUUGAACAGAGGUUGAGUUUUAGGGUUUUUCAUUUUCUCUUUUUCAUUUCGAGUAUGUUUUUAAAUGUCAGAUAAUUACAAGCACUACUAAAAAAAGGGGAUUUUUCCACCAAAAAAUUUCGACCUCACUUUUUGGUGGAAAAAAAAUCGACCACAUGAGGUCGAAAUUUCCAAAUUAUUUUUUUUAUUUUAUUUUCUGUAGGAUUUUGACCACAUGGGGUCGUUUUUUUUACGGGAAAAUAUGAUUUCGACCUCAUGAGGUCGAUUUUUUUUGUACAAAUAAUAAAUGAAAAAAAAAUCAUUUUGCACAAAAGUAAAUUAUAUAAAUAUAAAAUAAUUAAUUAAAAAAUUAAAAAAAAAAAAUUCGACCGCAUGAGGUCGAAAAUUUUAAUUCAAAUCUGGCUUAAUUUUUUCGACCACAUGCGGUCGAAAAAUUUCAAUAAAUAAUACACCCACACAGGCGGAUGAAAAUAUUUCAUCUCCCCCCAAAACUUUCUCUUCUCUUUCAAAAACAUUUACCCUCUCUAAACUCAUCUUCCCCAAAUUUCCCACCACCCCACCAACACCGGCGUUGUCCAAGUAGGCGACACCGUCUAGUUAAACCACUGGAGUAGCCACAAGCCGCCGCCGACUGAACAGCGAGCUGGAUGGUGUGUGAUAAUUGGGGUAACAUAGACGACCUUCCCAUGGUAGACGAUGUAGGUCACAGGCCAACGUAGAUCAUGGUUUUGUGGAUGAGGAUAGUGAGGAGGAUUCGGAUCAUGUCUCUAACACCCAGCGUUGACUUUUUGAUUCGUAUACUUUUGGAUUCUAAUUUUGCUAUGUUUUCUUGGAUAUGUAUAUGAAAUUUAAGUGUUUGAAUGUAGUAUUAAUUCGAAUUAGAAUACUUUGAAGGUGAAUUUGAUUGUAGAAUGUAGUUUAUGGUUGUUUAAAUUUAUGAUGUUUAAGUGUAUCAAUGUAGUUGUAAUUUGAAUUAGAAGUACUUUAAAUUGGAAUUUGAGGUUGAAUUUGAUUGUAGAAGUAUUUUGAUGAAUUGGAUGUGUUGAUGAAUUGCA